RNAcentral lists this non-coding RNA (30 nucleotides) under Rattus norvegicus (Norway rat). Lineage: Eukaryota; Metazoa; Chordata; Mammalia; Rodentia; Muridae. The record is from RNAcentral.
UCAUCACUAGAUGAGCCCACUCCUGUCAGC